RNAcentral lists this ribosomal RNA (485 nucleotides) under uncultured bacterium. RNAcentral's name for it is "partial 16S ribosomal RNA". It matches the Rfam family "Bacterial small subunit ribosomal RNA", at positions 29 to 523 of the family's 1533-position model. The record is from RNAcentral.
AGUGAACGCUGGCGGCGUGCUUAACACAUGCAAGUCGAACGAGAACGGAAUAUAGCUUGCUAUAUUUGUCAGCUAAGUGGCGCACGGGUGAGUAAUGUAUAGAUAACCUGCCCUUAAGAAAGGAAUAACAGUUGGAAACGACUGCUAAUGCCCUAUAUGCCUUUAAUACAUAAGUAUGCAAGGGAAACGCUUUAGUGCUUAAGGAUGGGUCUGUAUGGUAUCAGCUUGUUGGUGAGGUAAUGGCUCACCAAGGCUAUGACGCCUAACUGGUUUGAGAGGAUGAUCAGUCACACUGGAACUGAGACACGGUCCAGACUCCUACGGGAGGCAGCAGUGGGGAAUAUUGCACAAUGGACGAAAGUCUGAUGCAGCAACGCCGCGUGGAGGAUGACACAUUUCGGUGCGUAAACUCCUUUUAUAUAGGAAGAUAAUGACGGUACUAUAUGAAUAAGCACCGGCUAAUUCCGUGCAAGCAGCAGCCGCUG